GAUCAUGGCUCAGGAUGAACGCUAGCUACAGGCUUAACACAUGCAAGUCGAGGGGAAACGACAUCGAAAGCUUGCUUCCGAUGGGCGUCGACCGGCGCACGGGUGAGUAACGCGUAUCCAACCUGCCCACCACUUGGGGAUAACCUUGCGAAAGUAAGACUAAUACCCAAUGAUAUCUCUAGAAGACAUCUGAAAGAGAUUAAAGAUUUAUCGUGAUGGAUGGGGAGUGCGU
This 232-nucleotide ribosomal RNA is filed under the name uncultured bacterium. Its description in RNAcentral is "partial 16S ribosomal RNA". It matches the Rfam family "Bacterial small subunit ribosomal RNA", at positions 15 to 236 of the family's 1533-position model. The record is from RNAcentral.